GGCAGUAUGGAUUAGUGGAUGGAGCGCUGUACUGGGACUCAGGAAACCUGGUUUCUAUUCCCAGUUCUGCCA
This 72-nucleotide transfer RNA is filed under the name Chelonia mydas (Green sea turtle). It matches the Rfam family "tRNA". From Rfam's summary of the family: Transfer RNA (tRNA) molecules are approximately 80 nucleotides in length. Their secondary structure includes four short double-helical elements and three loops (D, anti-codon, and T loops). Further hydrogen bonds mediate the characteristic L-shaped molecular structure. tRNAs have two regions of fundamental functional importance: the anti-codon, which is responsible for specific mRNA codon recognition, and the 3' end, to which the tRNAs corresponding amino acid is attached (by aminoacyl-tRNA synthetases). tRNAs cope with the degeneracy of the genetic code in two manners: having more than one tRNA (with a specific anti-codon) for a particular amino acid; and 'wobble' base-pairing, i.e. permitting non-standard base-pairing at the 3rd anti-codon position. RNAcentral also lists the same sequence under 2 other names. The record is from Rfam by way of RNAcentral. Lineage: Eukaryota; Metazoa; Chordata; Testudines; Cheloniidae.